This is a long non-coding RNA of Monodelphis domestica (gray short-tailed opossum), 14583 nucleotides long. RefSeq lists it as uncharacterized. The record is from RefSeq and is a predicted model, not a curated record. Lineage: Eukaryota; Metazoa; Chordata; Mammalia; Didelphimorphia; Didelphidae.
CACAAUUUGGCCUAAAAUUGAAUUUCUCUGAUAAGGAAUUUCAGAAGCGGCUUGUCUCAUUCACUCAGCAGCAAAAUAAUCAUAUGCGCUUUAAUAAUCUUUAUUUUACAGGAGUCCGUUGCCAGGGUAACGGAGUGUAAGCAGGAGAACAGCACCUUGCAGAUCACAAAGGCAAAUCUGCAGAAAGAAAUUUCAAAUUCCAAAAUAUGUUUGGCUGUAUCAAAGAAGAAGGAGGUAACUCACAGUAUUUCAACCAACAUAGACCCCAUAGUUAGUUCGGCCCUGCUUCCACAGUGCAUCAAGUUACUCUGGAAAUCUCCAUCUGGGCCAGUUAUUCUGUGAAUCUUUCGUUUCUGAGCGCCCGCCCCUGGCUCAGCGCCCAGUGCCAACAGAACACCUUUCAGGAUCCACAGCAAAAUAGACAACUGAGGCACCACAGAGGAAAAUGACAGAGCAAGACCUCAAGAAUCAAGGGAUAUCUAAAAAGCAACCAAGUCAUCAGUUCCAUGGCUAGAUAAACGGGGAACAAGUUCGAUCAAGAAAGUCUUAGAACCAAAGAUAAACGAUGGAGAAAAGAACAUCUCCCAAUUACAAAUGGACUUAGAGAUGCUUUCAUCUGGAACUUUACACCAAUCAGAAAUAAUACUGGAACGGCGAAAUGCAAAAACCGUGUAUCUUCAAAGCAAGAUCCUGCUCCAACAUGAGAAGAGGGAUGGCCUGGCAGCCAAGCUGGAUGCUCAGGAGCAGAGGAUCUAUCAACGGCAGACCAAGCAGAGGGAGACGCAGGCUGAAUUGGAGCAGAAAUGCAGCCAGAUCCAGCGGCUCAGGCAGGACCUGGAGGCCAGCAGCUGACUCCAAGUGGAGCGCCACAGGCAGUUUGUGGAAUGUAGCAGACAACUUACACAGGAAGAGAGUGAAAAGAGGUCUCUGAGAAUCCAAAAGCUGGAGCAAACACUCAGAUUAAGAAAUUUACAACCGAUUUAAUCUCCUAUAAAACCUUAUCUAAAAGUUAUCAGCACAGACCUCUGUUAUGACUAAGCAAUUGUCAUACUGAGGAAGGAGCUAGCUUCAAACCAGAGGGAACUGGAGGAGAGGCUAGAAGAUACCAGUAUGAAUGGCAAAACACCACAAUGCACCAGAUGAGGGCAGAGCUCCAGCAUGUUCAACUGGUGAUUUUUGUCCUAAUGAUGAUUCUUCAGUGAGCAAAAAUAUGGCCUCCAAAUUCCUCUUUGUCUUCCUGAUUGACAGGCAGAAGAAACAGAGAUUCAGCUGGAUGAGGAUAAUGUGGAGGCCGCUAUGAUGAGGAGCAGAUACACACAUCCAGACACCAAAAGAGGUAACGCUUGUGGUCUGAUGACUAAGAGAUCUCCGAUGUAGGAGAAUCAAAUCUUCUCUCUUUCCCUUUUCUCUACAUACUUUUACCAUUGCUAGCCAUUAGUCAGCAUUCUGAGAAGCAGCCCUCAUCAUCUUUACACUGGACAGGUCUGUUCCCAACAUACUCUGUUGGGUAGCCUGUUGAAAAGGCUUGAAAUUCAAAAGAUAAUUGACCUAAAUUCCCAUCAUGCGUGUACAGCCUGGUGAGUCAUCACCAGGUAAAGAGCUUCCAUUGAUUUCAAAGUGAAUCUCCCACAUGGCGGAGACAUGGGAGGAGGGUCUUGUGGGGAGGGAGAAGCGAGGCAGGUGAAAUUAAAAGUAAUUUAGAUUUUAUUUGAAUUUCUAUCUGUAGGUUACGAAAAUACUCAAUGUAAAUGGGUACCAGGAGGCUACCAACUCUAACUCAGAUUAAAUCGGAUGCAAAGUUGAUUUAUAGGUCAGAACACUUUAAAAUGAUUAUGACUUUUCUGGUUCCACAGAAAUCAUAUUAUAAUGAUGAGCUGGUGUUUUUAUGGUAUUUGUGUUCUAGUCCACAACACACGCAGAACUAACUGAAAUUUCAAAUGCAUAUGGCUGGAAGAAAUGAUGCUGUAAUGACCUAAUGCUCCUCAAUUUCACCUGUUAAUUUUCUUAAUCCCCAAAACAAUGCCAGUUUCAUUUUCCCAUUUAGAGAGGCAAUGUCAGAGGGGCUUAAUGGUGACAUCAUGUACCCUCAAGGCCUUUGUAUUGAUGUUUUCCCCAAAGAAGACCUCUGAGACCAUCUAGUAUAACCCCUUCAUUUUGUAGUUGAGAAAGAUUGAGUGAUUCUAUUUCCCAAAGUCAUAUAAAUAGUAAGUCAACGGCAGAUUUUUAACCCAGGUCUUCUUUACUCCAAAUACAGAAACACUUAGGAUUUUCCAUGGAUAGACAACUGGGCCUGGACUCAAGAAAACCUGAGUUCAAAUCCAGCUUCAGACAUUCACUACCUAUGCGACCCUGGGCAAGCCACUUAUCUCUGCUAGCCUCAGUUUCCUCUAAUGUUAAGUGAUGAUACUAACAACAUCUACCUCCUAGAGCUAUUAUAAGGAUCAAAUGAGAUAAUAUUUAUAAAGUUCUUAGCACAGUGUCUAUAAUAGAAGCUUAAUAAAUUUUUGCUCCAUUUCUUUUCCCCUUUCCAUUGUACCAUGCCUUCUUAAACUAUUUGAAACAUAAAUUAGAGCUUUGAUGACAUUCUUAGGCUGACUGGGUGAUGUGCAGGUUUGAUUCUUUAGACUCUGCAGGCUCAUGGAAACUCUAAGUGUUUUAUAUUUUAAAUGUCCAAUGCCUUUCCUGCUCUUAGAAAUCUAACCUCUCAUAGUGUGGCCAUUGGUUUAAGAAUGCAUCUUUGUUGCAAAAAGCUAAAAUAGAUUCAAAUAAUCCCCUUGGAACUUUAACUAGUUUCUAUCGCUUUCUGCCUUUAUUCUAAAAAUCAACAUUUUUGCAAUCACUUUAGGGCAUUUCCAGAAACAUACUUGGCAAUGAAGUUCUAACACAUUGUAUAAAGUCAUAUGGAACAAAUAUGAACUUUCUCUGCUUAGCAGAUUAGUUAAAUUGUGAAAAAGAUCAUUCUCUAUUUUAAAUUUGGAUCGCUGUGGAGAAUGGCCACGGACACUAACUUUUAAAAUUAAUAUUUCUUUCUGAUAUAUAUUUUUUCUUAUUAAUGUCAACCAGGUUUUGCCAUUAAAUUAGGAUAACCAUAAUUCUAACAUAAUGAGGCAGCUAGACUUGGAGUCAGAAAGACCUGAAUUUAAAUCCAGACUCAGACUCUUAAACUGGGCAAGUUACUUAACUAUGCUCUGCCUCAGUUUCCUUAUCUAUAAAAUAGAAAAAAUGAUAAUAGCAUCUGACCGCAUUAGUGGUUUUCUUGGCAAAGAUCCUAAAGUGGUUUGCCAUUUCCUUCUGCUGCUCAUUUUCAAGAUGAGGAAACUGAGGCAAGCAGGGUUAAGUGUCUUGCCCAGGAUCACAUAGAACUGGCAAGUGUUGGAAACCCAUAUUUGAACUCAGGUCUUCCUGACACUGAUUCCAGUGCUUUGUCCACUGUACCACCUACUUGUCCUAUAACUAAUAUUCCCUCUCCAUGUGUUGCUUCCUAUCAAACUUCUUUAGUACAGAGGACUGAUUGUCAUUCCAUUUUUCAAACAAUUUCAGGAUCUCAUUAAUUAAUGAAAAAAUAAAAAAAUUCUUGGUCUCACUCAUAAGACCCAAAUCUAGAUUUCAUCAGCUCUUGUAGUCUGUUUCAUGAAUUCUUCCUUAUAUAUACUAUGCUCCAGCCAAAUUGGACUAUGCCAAAAAUCACUAAUUCAUGGAAUUGGAAGAGUCCUCAAAGGUCAUUUAAUUAUGCCUGCAUCGUGAAUCUUCUUUACUUUAUUUCUAAAAAUGGUCCUCAGACUUCUGCAGACCUCACCAAGCCUACCAUAGCUUCCUCUUCUAUUUUUGGACUGCUCUAAUUCUUAGGGAUUUUUUUCCUUACAUUAAACCAAAAUAUGCUUCUGCGUAGCUUCUUUCCUCACUGAUUCUAAUUCUGCUUUUUGUUGUUCUUCAUGAACUCUUUUGGAGUUUUCUUGCCAUUUACUUUUCCUUUUCCAGCUCAUUUUACAAAUAAGGAACCUGAGGCAAGUCACUUAGCCAUGGUCUGACUCAGUUUCCUUGUCUGUAAAUGGAAAUAAUAAUAGCCACUGACCACAUUGGGGCUUCCUUUCAUAAAGAUAUUGGGGUAGUUUCUAGCCUUUUCCUUCUCCUGCUCAUUUUAAAGAUGAGGAAACUGAAGCAAACAGGGUUAAGUGACUUGCCCAGGGUCACACAGCUAGUAAAUGUCUGAAGCCAGAUGUUAACUUGAAAAGGUAAUCUUCCUGACUCUAGAUCUAGCACUCUAUCUACUAUACCACCUAGCUGCCCUCUAAUUCUGCUAACUAGAGCUAAAGAAAAGAAAUCUAAUCUUUCUUCCAAAAGAAAGUCCUUUACAUAUUUGAAGAAAUAAUUAUUAAGAACCUUCUAUGUGCCAAGCACUGUACAAAUAUUAUCUCUUUGAAUCUCACAGCCACUCUGGGAGGAACAUACUAUUAUUCUAUUACUCCCAUUUUUUAGACAACAAGAGGUUAAAUAGCUUGGGUCAAACAGGUAAGACGUCCCUAAGGCCAGAUUUGAACUUAGGACUUCCUGACUCCAUGCCCAGCCUUCUUUCCACUGAAAGACUGUCUGCGUGAUUUCAAAACCUCAAUUUUCUCCUCUCCCAGCAAGUUUUCUCUUUUCCAGACUAAAUAUCACAAAUUCCUUCAACCUAUCUUUCUCCAGCAUGGUUCUGCAUUCCUCCAUUAAAGCUCUUCAUUGUCCCUCUACACCGUGUUGCCUAGAAUGUAGACAGCAGUACCCCAUCUAUGUUCUGAGAAGAGCAGGAUUAAAUGGAAUGAUCAUCUCCAUGAUACACAUUCUAUUUUUUUAAAUCAUAACCCCUAAUCCCAUUAGCUUUUUGAUCUACUCUGCCACACUAUUAACUAAUUUAAUUUAGAACUUACUUAAAACCAUCAGGCCUUUAUCCCCUGAAAAGCUUUUUACCACUCUCAGGACAAAUCAUAUGCUUUCCUGCCUCCAUUUCUGCUUUCACACAUUUCACCCCUGUGACUGGAAUAGCCAUCUUCCCAUCCUUGCCUUUCGAAUCUCACCAAUUCUUCAGGUGCCUUCACUUCCUAGGUGGUCCCAUUUCCAUUCAUUGAUCGCCAUCAACCAAAAGCAAUGUGUAUAGCAAGCUGUUCCUCUCCUAUACUUGUCUUAUUUAUGUUUACUUGUAUCUACUAGGUUGUAAACUCUUUGAGGGCAGGGACCAUGCCAUAUUUACCUUUGGUGCAUAUUUCAUACAUUUAAUAAAUAUUUAAUAAAUGGUCCAUAUUUAAUAAAUGUUUGUCAAAUUAGAUUUCAAUUAGAAUGCAACAUAGAAAGAUACUCAUGGGGAAGGUUUCCAAAAGCAAAUUCAUAGCUACUAAGAAUCACUGAGCAAAAUACUUACAUGAGGGCACCUAGCAGUAAGGGCUAAGGAUGCUGAACAAUUAAUCCUUGUGCGUCAAGAACUUUAUGGGUGAGAACUUUUGACUGGAGGGUUUCUGUAUUUCCACAUAUUCCAUUUUCUUUUCCAGCAACUCAUGCCCAAAUCUUAAUGAACCCAGUUUAGCAGGAUGUCAUUAUUUAAUGAGUCACAGCAUCUGUGAAAUUUUGGAUGGCUGCCCUGUGGUUAUAAGAGCAACUUAGAUAUUUAAAUGCAUACUAGGAUGUUUAUAAUUAAAUGAUAAUUGUCAUCUAGAACUCUGUUUCUCCUGGUACUUAAUAGUUGCACAAGAAAAAAACCAGAGUAGGUUUUUUCUUCUACUCCUAGUUCCUUGACACCCCUAGAUGAUGGAAGCCCAUGGAAUAUAUUGUAACUAGCUACGAUUAAAUGCAGAUUUUCUACUUACUGUACUUAGUGAUUGAAUAUGAUGAAUAAGCAACCUAUAGAAGGGAUUCUUACCUAGGGGGUAGUACAUGUUUUUAUAAAGGCAUUUCAGCCAUUGGUUUCCUUUGUAAUCCUGUAUAUGUGUAUGUGCAUGCAUUUAAAAACAUUAUUCUGAGAAGAGGUCCAUAGGCUUCCUUGGAUUGUCAGAGGUCCAAAAGCCAAAAAACCCUAAACUAUAGCAGUGUUUCAACACUCCAUGGGAUCUAUGAUCUCAUUAAUAGUUUUGCUGUAGAUUGCAACCAAUCUGUGCCUACCAUCUUAGCCCGUUUUUGGCUAUAUCUUGACAUACAUCUGCCACCUUGUGUGUUCUAGGCCAUGCUUAUGUUCUUUUGAACAUAAUAUUUAUUCAAGGAUACCAAAAGAACCCAAUGGCUGUCCAUAAGUUAUUCCUAGCUCUCACUACAUGGCCAGCUUUUCUUUCUUUCUUUUUUUUUUGCUGCAAUGACAUCUUUUAAACACCUUCUCCUGAUUAAUUCUUUUUUUAAAUUAUUAUUAUGCCUUUUGUUUGUAAAAGCCCCAAAUAUUCACUCUAUCAUGACCAUUGAUUGCUAUUUGGCGCACCCUCAAUCUCAGUUUCUCAAGUACUGUAGUUCCUUGACUUCUGCGCAUACACAAUACCAUCAAAAGAAUUUUGUUGUUAAAAAGAUGAAACUUUCUUUCAGGGAAAAAUAUGAGGUCAUUAUAAAAACAAUUAUGUGCCCUAAGGCAAGUCAGCAUGCUCUUCUCCUUUUUGAUACGGGGCCCAGUUCAUUGCCCAUUGGUAGGCUUUGUCCAAGAUCUCUACAUACCUCAGCAAAGUUAAGUUGAUUAGGGUUCUAGAAGGAAGGUCACUGAGCAGAAUCCACAUUCAUUUAAGUCUCCUGACGUCCAGUUAAUGACAUGAUCUGGGUCUGAGCUCUUCCAUCAACAAUUUUUACUCCAUCAUCAACUAGGAAAUUGAGAAUAAUGAUAGUUGUUCCUCAUGGAAGCUCCUAAGGGCUUUGGGGGCUACUCAGGACGAACACUCCCAUUGACCUUCAGUCUGAAUCAGAGUAAAUCAUUGAGGCACAUCUGAAGAGGAGUACCACAAAGCAGUAGGCACCAUCUUUCUCCUCAAUAUCAACAAUCUCUUUUGAAUAGAGCUUUGUAGUUUGAGAGUACUUUCUCACAUCCAUAAUCUCAUUUUAUCUCACUUGAUCCUCACCAUAAUCCUUUGAGGGAAAUGGAGCCCCUAUUACUAUCUCAAUUUAUAAGGAAAUUGAGACCUAGAAUGAUGCCAUUUUCCCAGGGUAACAUCAAAUUAUUGACCUGGUUCUCUUAACUCCUAGUAACAGAAUCUUUGUUGAAAGGACUGAAUGGUCAUCUAGUGCAGCCCCUUGCUCCAAAAAAAAAAUGCAACACAUCUGACCAGUGGUCAUCUUGGAGGGAACCCAUUAUCUCCUGAAGCAGGCAAUUCUUCCUUGGAAAAGUUUUGGUUUUAAGGAAGUUUUUCCUCACAUCAAGCCUAAAACUUCCCCUUUGAAAAUUCCACUUGCUAGUUGUACUUUCUGGGGCUUGGCCAAACAAAUCUAACAAGUCUUCCAUGGGACCUCCCUUCAAAUACUUGAAGACGUCUAUCUUGCCCCUACUAAGCCUUCUGUACUUCAUGCUAAACAUUUUCUGCUUUAAAUGACCCUCAUAUGAUAUUAACUAGAUAUUCCUCAUCAUCCUGGUCAUCUUCUUCUGAACAUUCUAGUUUACAUCUUUUUUUGUAAUGUGAGACCCAGAACUGAUCUGAUCAAAGGUAAUGUAUAUAGUGCUACUGUCUCUGUACUCCUGGAUGCAAUACUUCUCUUAAUGCAAUCUAAGAUUGCUGUUGUUUUACUGGCUGCAAUAACCUAUUGUCAACUCCUGUUGAGUUCAAAGUCUUCCCAAAUGCCAGAUUUUAUUCAGAUAAAUUAUUUUCUACCCAUAUCUCUGCUUUUUUUUGCAACUGUGAACUGAUCACUUGGCUUUUCACAAUGACCUAAUUCAUCUCUCUGUCUCAAAUCUCUCCACACUCUAAUUCAUCCUCUACUCAGCUUCCAAGGUACUACUUCUAAGCCAUAAGUCUGACCAUGUCUCCCUCCUACCCAGAAAUCUCCAGGGGUUCCCUAUUGCCUUUAGGUAUAGAAAUAAAUUCCUCUUUUUGACACUUAAAGCCCUUCCCAACCUGGUCCUUUCCAAACUACAGUCUUCUUACACUUCACUCCCUUCCAUGCACUCUAUGGUCCAGCUGUAUUGGCCACAUUGUUGUUCUUCAUACAUAUGGCAUUCUAUCUCCAGGCUCAGUACAUCUAUUACUAGUUGUCUCCCAUGCUUGGGAUUCUCCUUUUUUCUUUUUUGGUUUCCUUUCUUGCUUGACUCAGGUCAAAUUCCACCUUUUUCAGUUUUUCCUGCUUUCCAUAUACCUCCCACCUUAACCUCUGGCUAGUGCUUUCCUUCUGAGAUUACUUAUAUAGAAACAUAGACAGACAGACAGACAGAUAGAUAGAUAGAUAGAUAGAUAGAUAGAUAGAUAGAUAGAUAGAUAGAUAGAUAGAUAGAUAGAUAUAGAUGGAUAGAUGGAUGGAUAGAAAAAUAGAUAAAUACAUAAACAAUCUAAUACAAGCACACAUAUGUAUCCUGUAUGUACAUAGUUAUUCACAAGUUGUGUCCUUCACUAGAAUGGUAGCUACAUGAGGGCAAGGAUCAUAUUUUUGUCUCUCUUCAUAACUCCAAGUACUUAGUACAGUGGCUGGCACACAGCAAGCACUUCAUAGAAGCUCAUUGUUUGACCAAACCUAAGUGUAAAACUUAUUCCAAUUUGUAAUUAUUCCAAUUUGAAUUUUGGCUCAUUUAUUUCAACCCAACUUUAUAGCCUAUCCAGAUCUUUUUGAAUUCUUACUGUGUUUUUCAGUAUAUUAACUCUCUUACAGAUUUAAUGUCUAUGCUAUCUAUGCCUUUAUACAAGUCAGUGAUGAAACUGAUAAAUAUCACAGGACCAAGCACUAAUUCCUGGGACCUUCCACUGGAGACCUCAUUCCAAUCUAUUAAUUACUAUUCUUGGAAUGUGAAUAUUUAAUCAGUUCCAAAUACAUCUCAUUAUACUGCCAUCUAAUAUAGCUAUAAGAAAAUGUGCCUCACUGUGAAGAUAUAAGUCCAUUUCCUAUGAGAUGAGAAAUCAUUCAGUGGGGAAAAGGAAGAAGAAACAAACAGAGGUUUUUGACAUGUUCUUGAGGAGUUCUGAAAUAACAAUUUGUUAGUCUGAUAGCCAAAUCAGAAAGGCUUGCUGUCUUCCUGGAGUGUGUAUCAAGAAUGUGACAGAGGACCUCCCAAGAUUUGUCAAACUGGUGACCGUCCCACUUUUAUUGACUCACUUGGCACAAAUAAUAUUGGGAGAAAGACUGAAAAGUGCUUCUAAAGUUUAUAAUGUCUUCAGCAAAAGAGAGGAGUAUAGGGACAUAAGUGGUAUAUUUCUUAUGGCUGAUGAUUGAAGACAAGGGCUUAAGAAAAAAAACAUAGAUUUGUAAAGUGAUCAGUUAUUCAAGAAGAUAAAAUCUCUCAUGCUUUGAUGAAAUCUAGAUAAACUAUCAACAAAAAUGCCAUUAUCUACCAGUUUAGAUACUACCAAAAGGGAAAAUAAGUCCAAAAUUUUUAAAAAGAGUCUGCCAUAACAUUUUAGUGAUAAGAUCAGGCUCUUUGUGAUCAUACUUGCUUUUCCAGUUCAGUAACCAUCCCUAAUUAAUAUAUUCCAGAAUUUUUUCAAGAAUCAAAUUCAAUGGCCUAUAGUUUGUGCACUCCUUCUAGAGUUUGUAUCUGAAUUCUGCAUUGAACAUGUUGAGUUUAGGAUAUCUCUGGGACAUCCAGUUGGAAAUGUCCUAAAGGCAGUUGAUUGUGUGGGAUUUGAUUGAUGUUCAAAUUAAUUGGUUUUUUUAAAGCUUUGGAAGGCACUGAGCCUGGAUAAAUAGAUUUGUGAGUUGCACAUAGACAUAAAUUUUUCCAUUCUCUGACCUAAAAUACCUUUUCCAUUCUUCACAAUUAAAAAGAAAUCUCCACAAAAUUUGCAUUCUCCCCAACCCUUUAAAAAAUCACAGAUAGGAAUGCAUUUACAUCCAGCAGUUUUUUUACUGCCUAAGGUUUAAUUACCCAUGCCAGACUACUUGAAGUCAUCAAGGAGCUAGGCACUCUCUUACUAUUUUCCUUCGUCUUAGGUAUGAACUUCCAUUUAGCCAUAUUUGGCCAAUGUUUAUGAGCAGGUAGGUGGUGCUGUGGAUAAAGCAUGGGGUCUAUAAUCAGUUAGAUUCAUCUUCCCAAGUUCAAAUCUGACUACACACACUUACUAGCUAUGUGGCCCUGGGCAAGUCACUUAACCCUGUUUACUUCAGUUCCUCACCUGCAAAAAAGAAGUAGAGAAGGAAAUGGCAAGCUACUCUGGUAUCAUGCCACACAUUUUUGUCUUCAGAAUUUCAUUCUUGAUAAUUGUCCAGUCCUCCUUAGCUGACUUCCCUUAUACAAGUCUAAUCAUUGGAUCUCUUUCUGGUCUUCAUUUUAACUCUGAAACUGCUCUCCCCAAAUCUAGGGAUUCUUCCUGUCCUCCUCUGUCACAAACUCUAAGGUAGUAAUGCUUCCUAUCAUUUCUACCCUGAAUAGAAUUUCACCAUUUGUUCUUCCAAUUUUUGAAGGAUUUAUCAUUAAAUCAAGUCAAGACAUUAUUAGUUUCUCUGUUUUAGCAGUAAGCUUUAGCAGAUUUCCAGAUAACUGAAGUCCACAUGAUUACUACAUUCUGUCUCUAUGUUAAGCUUGCAAUGUUUCCCAAACUCUCCAUCUAUUUCCUCUUUUGGCCCCAAUGAUCUGUGGUAUACUCUGCUGUCAGUUUCUCCUCUGAAUCUGCCUCCAUAUAUCUUUACCCUGAUGCUUCCUCCAUGCUUCCCUUCUCUAGUUCCUGGAUUUCUUCACUAGUAUGUUGUUGUUGUUGUUGUUGUUGUUGUUGUUGUUGUUGUUGUUGUUGUUGUUGUUGUUGUUGUUGUUGUUGUUGUUGUUUAAUACAUAACUCUAUAUCACUUCCCUUUAAUCUACCUUGUUUCUUUUAAAUAACCUUCAAGAUCCAAAUUCCAGUUCUGGAUCUUAUCUCAUCAAUGUAGAAUGAUAUCUACAUGGUUCUACUUUCCUCCUUGAAUUAAUAUCUCUAGUUUCUUUCUCAUUAUGUAUACUUUCUAUAUAUUGGUGAUGACGUCUGAUGUCAUGAGUUUGAUUACUGACUCCUUUAUUAAUUUUUUUUUCUCUUGUGAGCUUCUGAGUGUCUCAACUGAUGAAUUCUUUCUUCAUUGUAACUACUCUAUAUCUAUCUUGGUGGAUGUACACAGGCAGUAUUCUCUCUAUCCCUUCCUUUUCAGAUUAAGAUACUUUUGGUUAGGUUGCCAAAACACCAGGCAAAUGUAACUUUUUUUAAAAACCCUUACCUUCUGUCUUAGAAUUGAUUCUAAGGCAGAAGAACAGUAAAAGCUAUGCAACUGAGGUUAAGUGACUUUCCCAGGGUCUCACAGCUAAGAAGUAUCUGAAGCAAGACUUGAACCCAGCUUCUCUCUACUCCAGGUCUAGGGCUGUAUACAUUAGGUCACCUAGCUGCCCUCAAAAUAUUUUCUUGAUAGCUCUUAAAAGGGUCACUUUGUCCCUGGACAAGAUGGUAAUUCCUGUGAUCCCUAUAUUUUAAGCUGUGGACCCAAAAUCCAGAUCCCAUUCUUAUCAGAUUCUUCUGAACUAGCUAUUCAUUUCCCAAAUCUGUUUCUCUUCUAAAGUCCUAUUUAUAAGUAUUAAAAAAAAAUCACAUCAAUGUUGAAAACACCACCUCUGCCUCAUGUUCAUCCCCUCCUUACCAAAGACAUCCUAAUCUUUAGCAGUACUUUUUUGAUCUCUUCUCAAAGUAUCAUUUGUACCAAGUGAAUAUGCAUAAGUGGAUAGUAGUCAUGCAGGUUCAUGAAUCUUGGAAGGUCCUCUGGCCUAUUCUAGAUUAUAUACACACCAGUAAUUUAGCAGCUCUCUCUACUUUUGUUAUCAGAUUAACAAAUGUCUGCCUUAAUAUCCCUCAAUAAGCAAGACACCAACCACCACUUAUUUUCUCUUCAGUCCUCACUAGAUGACCUGAGAGUGCCUACAUAUCUAUAUUUUAAUUUCUUGGAAGAUGAGCUGCUGCUUUUUCUCCAAGCAUCAAGCCCCAUCCUCUUUGGAAAGAGCCUCAGUUUCGUGUUCUUAGCUCCAAGUGUUCAGUGGUCCUUCUCAUUCUCUUUUAUGUGAUGCUUUCCCACUCUUAACAUCUCAAUCCAGGUCAGGAUUCCCCUAUGAUAUUAUGGAUAGUUUCUCUUCUUUGGUUUCACACUGAUGUCCUACUUUUAAAGAACACUGGCUACCAUUGUUGCUGGUAUUAUAGAAAGGGAUGAUACCAGCCCACUUUUUAAGCAGUCACUUGGUCACAGCAGACUAACAGAUAUUGAAAUUUCUAAUGAACCACCAUUAAACUUUGCUGCUCAUCUCAACCCUGGUGCCCAGGCUCCCUUCACAGCCACACAAGCAAAGAACCGUCAUGUUAUGGUGAUGCUGCCAUGUUCUCCUUAUGAUGUUUGAUCCUCUACUAUAUCCCCUCAGUCUCAAAGGCUAUAUGUUGUAGAUUCUUAUUCAGCUACUAGUUUAACUUGGUGAUCUCUGAGAUCCCUAAACUCUUUGAAUUUGUCAUUUUGAUCAAGAAAGGAAAGGUACAAGUCAAAGAGAAGGUCACAGUUGUACAGCUAAAAUAAAUAGCAUUUAACCUCAACACGGAUUCAUUGAGAACCCUACAAAUACAAAUCCAAGCUUGUGUCAAAAGAGAAAUUAAACAAACUUGGACUUAAGGAAAAUCACUUAUGGUGGAGGAUUCCUUGGAAAGGAGAAGUCUUGAGGGAGGAAGACAAGUUAGAAGGCCAAUGCAAUAGUCUAGGUGAGAGGUGAUGAAGACCUGAACCAAGAUGGCAGAGAAGGAAUUAGAUGCCAGAGAUGUAAUAGGAAAAGAAGGAUUCACUGAUUGAUAAGUUAUAUACUACUGAAGCUAUGGGUGCCAUGGUCUUUUAAGAAUCUGUUCAAGAUAAGAAAAAUGGAUUUUAAUCUGCUUUACAUCCCCAUGUCUACAACAAUAAAAACAAACCUCACUUUUUCCUAUCUUAAACGCUAGCUGCUAUCCUGUAUCUUUCCACCUCUUUGGGGCUUAACUUCUUGAAAAUGUCAUCUCUAAUGCCUUCUAUUCUCUCACUACGUUCUAAACCCUUUUUGGUCUGACUUCUGACAUCAUUGAAAUGAAACUGCCCUCUCUAAAGUUACCAAUAAUCUCUUAAUUGCCAAAUCAAAUAGCCUUUUUGUAAUCUUCAUCUUUCUUGACCUCUCUGCAGCCUUUGGUAUUGUUGAUCAUCCUAUUCUCAAUGCUAUCCUCUCCUUAGGUUUUUAUAACAUUGUUCUUUUUUUUCCCCCUCUUCCAAAUGUCUGAGUGCUCCUUUUCAACCUCCUUUGCUGCUUCUUUAUCUCUAUAUCUUUAUGCCUCUUAACUGGAGGUAUUCUCCAAGACUCCCUUUUCUCUUCUGUCUUUAUACCCUCUCACUUGGCUCUGUUAUCAUGUGUAUAGAGGUGAUUCCCAAAUCCCCAUAUCUAGCCCCCAUCUCUCUCCUGAACCUUAGUCCUUACAUCACCAACUGCCUUUUAGACAUCUCAAAUUGGAUGCCCCAUCAGAAUCUCAAACUCAAUAUAUCUAUAAUACUCAUUAUCUUCCCUUCUCCCCCCAAACCUCCCUUUCUCACAAUUUUCCUAUUCGCUUUCAUGGCUCCAUUUUCCCGGCCACCAGUGUUUACAGCCAUGGAAUCAUCCUCAGUUCCUCAUUUGAACUUACCCCAUAUUUCCAAUGAAUUGUCAAGUCUUAUUUCUAUCUUCAUAGUUAUCUCUUGCUGCAUCCCCUAUAAUGCAGCCCCUUAUCAUCUCUUAUAUGGUUGAUGUUUUAAAACUCUUAUCACUAAUUCUUGAUUUCAAGACAGAAGAGCAAUAUGAGCUAGGCAUUUCAGGGUAAGUGACUUGCCCUCAAGGGUCACACAGCUAGGAAUUAUCUGAGGUCAGAUUUGAACCCAGGAUCUCUCAUCUCCAGACCUGGCUUUCUCACAUGAAUUUUAUCAAUAACGUGCUAAUCCACCUCAAGCCUCUUUCCUCAGAUCCACCUUCCCCUCAGCUGCCAAAGGGAUUUUCCUAAAGUGCAAUUCUGACAAUGUCACCAUCCUUCCCAAUUAACUCCAGUAGCUUUGUUACCUCAGAUAGCACCUAUGAAAUCCUCCGUUGGCAUUUCAAAUUCUAUUUCUAUUCUUCUUACAAUUUAUUCCCAUCCACACACUCAGAGAUGUCUGCUAUCCGUGUUAGCCUGCUUGCCAGCCUACAUGACAUUUUCACUCACUGUCCCCCAUCCCUAGAAUGCUCCACUGCCUCACCUGGACCUCCUGCCUACCUUCCUCGACUUCCUUCCAACCAACUCCAAUGCCACCUUCUGGAUUCCUUUCUUGUCAUCUCUGGUCUCCCAAUAGAGCCUUCCUUCUGAGAUUACCUUCCAUUUAUACUAUCUAUCUUGUAUAUAAAUUGUUGUUCCCAACUCCUCAAGACCCCAUGGACCAUCCUAACCAUAGGAUUUUCUUGGUAAAAAUACUACUGGGGUUUGCCAUUUAAACAGAGGUUGACUU